GUUAAGAUGGCAGAGCCCGGCAACUGUAUAAGACUUAAAACUUUAUAAUCAGAGGUUCAACUCCCCUCAUUAACA
Molecule: non-coding RNA, 75 nt
Organism: Macaca mulatta (Rhesus monkey)
Lineage: Eukaryota; Metazoa; Chordata; Mammalia; Primates; Cercopithecidae
Source: Rfam